GAAAGAAUUGACUAUAUAUGUUUAUUUCGUGAAACGAUAAAGGCCCGAACUUAAGAAAAACAGAGGAAAUCGCGGUCACGAAAAGUAUAGUCAAAUUUUCAUGCGGCACGCCAUGAAAACACUUCAUAAUAUCUCUUUAAUAAUCAUGCUAACAACCGUCAUCGCAAUGUCACUGGGAAUGCCCGAACGUACCUUCCCAUAUGCGCAAAUCACUACCCCUGGUUACGAGACGAGCAGUUUAUUUUUGCAGUUUCCUGCUAUCAUAACAUUUCCUGAUAAAACCAGAAAUCCAUGUCUAUUGGGUCAACAACAGGAUAGAUUGGGAAUAUGUCGCGAUAGAGUAUAACAGUGAAGAUGUACAGAUUCAAGAAUAUGAGUGACUUCUAUAAUAUCAUGAUCUAUAAGUAAUAUAAUAAGACAAUGAAAUAAUCAAUGAAAUACAAGAUAAUGAAUGUAUGAAAUUGUGCUAAGAAAAGUUUUUUCACAAUUGA
This is a long non-coding RNA of Odontomachus brunneus, 491 nucleotides long. RefSeq lists it as uncharacterized. The record is from RefSeq and is a predicted model, not a curated record. The transcript has 3 exons. NCBI's taxonomy places the organism in Eukaryota, Metazoa, Arthropoda, Insecta, Hymenoptera, Formicidae.